Acanthosepion pharaonis is the source of this 77-nucleotide non-coding RNA. The record is from the annotation of a GenBank genome assembly. Lineage: Eukaryota; Metazoa; Mollusca; Cephalopoda; Sepiida; Sepiidae.
UUACGGUCAAAUCACGCUGAAACACCGGUUCUCGUUCGAUCACCGAAGUUAAGCAUCGUAGAGUCAGGUCAGUACUA